UACAGAGGUCUCGGGCGUUAGUCGGAUUCAUUGGGCUUAAAGCGUGCGUAGGCGGAUGUGCAGGCGUCGUGUGAAAGCCCUCGGCUCAACCGGGGAAUUGCACGGCGAACCGCAUGUCUUGAGACAAGUAGGGGCGGCCGGAACGAUAGGUGGAGUGGUGAAAUGCGUUGAUAUCUAUCGGAACGCCAAAGGUGAAGACAGGCCGCUGGGCUUGUUCUGACGCUGAUGCACGAAAGCGUGGGGAGCAAACGGG
Molecule: ribosomal RNA, 253 nt
Filed under: uncultured bacterium
Lineage: Bacteria
Description: partial 16S ribosomal RNA
Rfam family: Bacterial small subunit ribosomal RNA
Source: RNAcentral